AAUAUAUAUCCAACGGAAGUCCAUAGAUGCGUACAUAUGCAACAAUAGUUCGCAAAUGAAAGGACCAUAAGUUCCAAGUCCACACAUGCGUACAUAUCCAACAAGGUUCAUGAGUUCCAAGUUUACACAAAGCAUUGUUCCAGGUUCACAAUCAAAAGCGUGAGUUCCAAGUUCACACAAAGCAUUGUUCCAGGUUCACAAACAGAAGCACAAUGACAACUACCUCGAGUGAUCAUUGUUGCAAGGAGGUCGAAGCCCUAGUGGGUGUCACUGGGCUUGCUUAUCCCGACUUAGAACACUUCAAAAGCAUGAGACAGUAAGAUGGUAAGAUGCAUGAUAUUUAAGCAUGAUGGUAAGAUGCAUAAUUAAAAAGUUGGAACACUUACAAAGCUGAAAGUAGGAAGAGGCGGAAGAGGAGG
This 419-nucleotide long non-coding RNA is filed under the name Triticum aestivum (bread wheat). Its description in RNAcentral is "long non-coding RNA (TAES_LNC023298)". Lineage: Eukaryota; Viridiplantae; Streptophyta; Magnoliopsida; Poales; Poaceae. The record is from RNAcentral.